RNAcentral lists this long non-coding RNA (1163 nucleotides) under Gallus gallus (chicken). Its description in RNAcentral is "lncRNA (ENSGALG00010029991.1)". The record is from RNAcentral. Lineage: Eukaryota; Metazoa; Chordata; Aves; Galliformes; Phasianidae.
CGGGUGUUUUACUCAUCCAGGGAGAGAAUAAAAAAUGUGGCACUCGUUAUUUUGUGGGAUAUUUAAUCCCUUCAACUAAUUUUGCGUGAAACGGGCUUUAGGUUCCACUCCCUCCUCUUUUUCUGGUUUUGUUUUUCAACUCUUCCCCACCUUCUUCUCUUCCCUCUUGGAAAAAGGAAUGAAAACAAGAAAUGAAAGAUUUCCCCUUCUCCAUCCUUUAACUUCUCUCAAUCCUCUCCCCUUUUCUUCAGGUGGGUCCCAGGUAACCUUUGACAUGUUUUCCAAUCUCAAGGCCAGCACUAAGGCUCCUCAUUCCAUACUUCAGCACCAAAACCGUGAGCUGGCUUUAAAAAACGCUGAGCAUGCAGCAGCUCCCAAUAAAUUUCACACCCCAGCAGAAGUCCUGUUGUCGGGAACUGUUUUCAUCCCCGCAUUUGCAGGUUGCCUUCAUUACUUCCUUCCCUUGGGUCACAAAAAGGCUGUUAGUGACAUCUCCCAUUUACCAGGUGCGGCAGUAUAAAUUCAGGGUAACUCCACUGAACUUAAUGUGCUUAAUGUAGAUACUCGGAAUCCGCACUGCUGCAAAUGAGAUCAGAAUUUGUCCCGGCCACAGGAGCCAGAGGGAGGUCAAAUGCUUUACAUACAUUACCUCCUCUUCAGCAUGCUAAUGAUGUGCAAUUUCAAAUGCUUUUCCCCAGACGCUGCAGUUCCAGGAACGGCACUAAAAGCAUUAAAAGGAAGCACAGCAGACCCCGCCACCGAAUGCCCAAUGAAGCUACACACCUGAUUGAGGCAAACAGUAGGAAGGUGAGCUGGGAGGGGGGAAAUUCAGCAGUUCCCAAUAAAACAGUCACAAAUCCACCCUUGCUGAUGUCACUGCUCCCAUUCCUGGCUACCCAGAACACGCAGCACUGGCAGCAGUUACAAUCAACGCUGGCCAUGAGCAUCUGUUUAUGAGGGUGGAUAGUGAUAGGACAAUGGGGAAUGGUCUUAAACUGAGACAGGGGAGGUUUAGGUUGGAUAUUAGGAAGAAGUUUUUCACCCAGAGGGUGGUGACGCACUGAACAGGUUGCCCAAGGAGGCUGUGGAUGCCCCAUCCCUGCAGGCAUUCAAGGCCAGGCUGGAUGUGGCUCUGGGCAGCCUGGGCUGCUGGUUGGUGACCC